RNAcentral lists this ribosomal RNA (498 nucleotides) under uncultured bacterium. RNAcentral describes it as "partial 16S ribosomal RNA". It matches the Rfam family "Bacterial small subunit ribosomal RNA", at positions 28 to 507 of the family's 1533-position model. The record is from RNAcentral.
GACGAACGCUGGCGGCGUGCCUAAUACAUGCAAGUCGAACGAGAGCGACCGGUGCUUGCACUGGUCAAUCUAGUGGCGAACGGGUGAGUAACACGUGGGUAACCUGCCCAUCAGAGGGGGAUAACAUCCGGAAACGGAUGCUAAAACCGCAUAGGUCUUCGAACCGCAUGGUUUGAAGAGGAAAAGAGGCGCAAGCUUCUGCUGAUGGAUGGACCCGCGGUGCAUUAGCUAGUUGGUGAGGUAACGGCUCACCAAGGCCGUGAUGCAUAGCCGACCUGAGGGGGUGAUCGGCCACAUUGGGACUGAGACACGGCCCAAACUCCUACGGGGGGCAGCAGUAGGGAAUCUUCCGCAAUGGACGCAAGUCUGACGGAGCAACGCCGCGUGAGUGAAGAAGGUUUUCGGAUCGUAAAACUCUGUUGUUAGAGAAGAACAAGUGCUAGAGUAACUGUUAGCGCCUUGACGGUAUCUAACCAGAAAGCCACGGCUAACUACGUG